Long non-coding RNA from Gadus morhua (Atlantic cod), 1265 nucleotides. RefSeq lists it as uncharacterized. The record is from RefSeq and is a predicted model, not a curated record. NCBI's taxonomy places the organism in Eukaryota, Metazoa, Chordata, Actinopteri, Gadiformes, Gadidae. The transcript has 4 exons.
UUGUAUUUGUAAUGUUUAUCAUACCGUAAAUAUUUAAAGUAUGAUAGUUAAAGGUUGAGAUUGUUGGCAAAGAGCCUCCACUCCUCCUCUAACAAGCUAAAAGUAAUUUAUUAUGCUGUUAAUGAAGGUAAAAAUUAAAUAUCCUGCAUAGUUCUCCUCCUCUGCUGUCCUCUGAUCAGAACGGAGUCCCUAGCAACGACCCGUUUUGCCUAGCAAAGGUCUGGCAUUCUGUGGUUGUUCUGGUAAUCCUACAUUGUCAACCUUUAAAUAAAUCUGUGUGCUGUCUCAUGAUCAGAAUGUUCCCGAUGAGGGCCUUGUUGCAGAAGGACCAAGCGAUCAGUCAUCUUUAGAAUGUUUGAGAGGAAAGCAUCUUGUCAGUCCAAUAAGAGAGCACCUGCUUCAGGACAGACCCAACAGAGAUUCAUCAGAGCCUGCCGGAGAGGGAGUCUCCAGAAAGACCCACCCAGUGCUAGAAUUACCACCCUCCACCUACUCACACCGCACUUUUCAAUUUUGUGGGGAUCAACAAGAUAUGCAAAUCGGACCAGAAGCACAGGACAUGUUAGAGAAGCAACCAGGAUCCAAUGUGCCUGCUACUCCACCUCAUCAGCAAGAGACACCAAACCAACAGGCAGAGACAUUUUUGUUGGAUGGAGAUGAUCCAGCGUAUCCUGGAGCUCCACUAACAAAGGGACAAAGUUUAAUCUUACUGAUGUCUUAUGUACUAAGGCACAAUGUGACAGGUGUGGCACUUGAACAUCUACUGAAGAUUGUCAAUGAACAUUUCCCUGGAAUGGUACCAGUAACCACAUACCUUUUUCACAAAGCUUAUGGACAAUAUGGAAAUUAUGUCCCCCAUUUUUACUGUCCAGCAUGUGAAAACUACUUAGGGGUAAAUAAUACCAGUGAACUAAUGUGUGGUGCUUGUAAUGCAGUAACUGAUUCAGAGAGCUGUCUCAAAAGUGGGUGUUUCUUUCUAGUGCUUAGUUUGGCUUCACAAAUCAAAACAUUGCUUGAACAAAACCAAGGUUUAAAAAAAGACUGGCAAUGUGCAGAUGUCAUUUCAGAUAUACAGUGUGGAGAAGAGUACCAGAAACUCAAAGAAUCAGGUGAAUUAGGUGAGGAUGACAUAACUUUAAUUUGGAACUGUGAUGGAAUUCCAGUUUUCAGGAGUUCAAAGUAUCAAAUCUGGCCCAUUCAGUGCCAGGUUAUAGAACUCGAACCUAAAGAACGCAAGGCAAAUAUCUGUCUUCCUUGUCUCUGGU